Grus americana (Whooping crane) is the source of this 2449-nucleotide RNA transcript. It is a transcript of the gene named KH RNA binding domain containing, signal transduction associated 3, with no coding region annotated. The transcript is spliced from 12 exons. NCBI's taxonomy places the organism in Eukaryota, Metazoa, Chordata, Aves, Gruiformes, Gruidae. The record is from RefSeq and is a predicted model, not a curated record.
GCGCGGAGCCGCUGGAGGUGGUGACUGGUUGGUCGGUGGUCAGCGCCAUCCGCCUCACGGUCUCCCUUUUCUUCUGCGCGCGUGUGUGCGGGAGGCCGGGGGGCCCCGUCCCGCCUGGGUCUGCGGCUCCCGGGGCUUGUCUCCUCCUUCCCUCUCCCCAGCCCCGUGCGCCUCCGCAGAGGGAUUUCUCCGCGUCCCUUGCCCGCUGUGGGGGGGGCGUCCCACCGGCCCGCGCCCCUUCCCUCCUCGCUCCCGGCCGGGGGUUUGCGGCGCUUCCCUCUGGAUGCGUCCCCGCAGCCCCGGGCGGGAGGCGGCCAGAGGGAAGCGCUGCCUCCGAGGAUUUACCGCCGUCUGGGACUCGGACCCGCGCCGCCGUCGUCCCCUUCCCCGUGGGGCCACCCGGCGCCCCGGCUCCGCCGCCGCUCCAGGCCGCCGCCGCCAUGGAUGAGAAGUACCUGCCCGAGCUGAUGGCGGAGAAGGACUCGCUGGACCCGUCCUUCACCCACGCCCUGCGGCUGGUCAACCAAGAAAUUGAAAAAUUCCAAAAAGGGGAAGGGAAGGAAGAAGAAAAGUAUAUUGAUGUAGUCAUCAAUAAAAAUAUGAAGCUGGGACAAAAAGUUUUGAUUCCGGUAAAACAAUUCCCUAAGUUCAACUUUGUGGGAAAACUUUUGGGUCCACGUGGCAAUUCUCUAAAGCGCUUACAGGAAGAAACACUGACAAAAAUGUCUAUUUUGGGAAAAGGUUCUAUGAGGGACAAGACAAAGGAGGAAGAGUUGAGAAAAAGUGGAGAGGCAAAGUACUUCCACCUGAAUGAUGACCUGCAUGUUCUAAUUGAAGUAUUUGCUCCACCGGCAGAAGCAUAUGCCAGAAUGGGACAUGCUUUGGAAGAAAUCAAGAAGUUCCUCAUCCCUGACUACAAUGAUGAAAUCAGACAGGCACAGCUUCAAGAAUUAACAUAUUUAAAUGGAGGUUCGGAAAAUGCAGAAGUUCCAGUGGUUCGUGGAAAAGCAUCUAUUCGAGCGAGAGGAGUGCCAGUUCCUGCUUUGUCCAGCAGGCUGUGUCUGGGAACUUCACUGCUCACCCCUGCCCCCACUACAAUGAAGUCAAAUAAGCAGCUGGUACCCUGUCCUGAGGAGGCAUUCUACAGAUUAGCCAAAACCAAGGGCCGUGGGGGAGUGCCUCCACCACCAGCAGGAGUACCGAGAGGGGCACCAGCACCCAGAGGAGUGCCUCCCAGUAGAGGACCAGUCAGUCGUAGCCGUGGACUUCUAGCACCCAGAGCAAGAGGAGUACCUCCACCUGCAGGCUACCGGCCCCUUCCACCGCCUCCAGCGCAGGACACUUAUGGUGAAUAUGAGUAUGAUGAUGGUUAUGGAACUGCUUAUGAUGAACAAAGCUAUGAUUCCUAUGAUAACAGCUAUAGCACUCAAGCACAAAGUGGGGCAGAUUACUAUGACUAUGGCCAUGGACUGAGUGAAGAAACAUAUGACUCUUACGGGCAAGAAGAAUGGACCAACUCAAGACACAAGGCACCUUCUGCAAGGACAACAAAAGGAGUCUACAGAGACCAGCCAUAUGCCAGAUACUGAUUGUACUGUCUGAUGUUGUGAAAUAUCCAAUCUCCACCAGUCCUGUAUACUGUUCAAAGAAACCCAUCUCCUUGGACAGCCAAGAGAACAAAAACCUUAAUCUUCUGAUGCUUUGGAACUUCUGCCAUGUUAAUUACGGACUGCUUAGAGCAUUGUACUCAUCCGUGUGCCUAGACAACAAGACAGGCUACGGAAUAUGAAAACCCUGUUCUGUAUUUCUUGUAUUAAAGCCUUAAAGUGUAUAAUAUUAUACACUUUUUAAAAUAAUUGUAUAUUUAAACUCUCAAUUGUUUAGUGAUGCAACAGUGUUUUAUUUGGAGCUCAAUAAAGAAUUUUCAUCUAAUUUCCUGUUACAAAGCAAUAAUGCAACCUCAUGUUCCUUUAGUGAUUCUUUUUAGCCUUAUGCAGCAAGUGUAAGAGUGUGAAGUCUCAUGACUAGAAUUUAAAUGCUUUUGGAAAUAGCUUGUCUAAUGUAUGAACAACAUGGUUAAGUUAAAAUGAAGAUUGGUGGGGUUUGCUGAAGCUUUUUGUAAUAGCUAAUUGUAAACAGGUCUACUCAAAACAAGACCCUUGGGUAGAAAUGAUACUACAACUUCCAUUUCCUUCAGAAACUUGUAUAACACGAAGGUGUGUUGAUCCCUGUCAAUUAUACUGUACUGCCUAUUCUCUUUCACUUGGUGUUUGAUGCAUAGAAAUGUUUUAUCUAAUACAGUCACAGAUUUUCUAGUAGUAGUCUUGGAUGAGGCUUUUACACCUUGAUAAAUCUUGUAUCUAACAGUUCAGUUUCCUCAGUGCUUUCUCUGUUUUAUAUUAAUUGUGAUUGUGAUAUUUGUAACAGAAAUAAAAUUAUGAUAAUUUAA